GCCUUUGAGAUACCAACAGGUUCUAUUACAUAGCUCCAUUGUGAUUGUGGUGUCCCAGAGGAAUCAAGAGAAUCGUCAGAGGUUUGAUUGUAGGAAUUUAGAUACCUCAUCUCCGCAGAAGAGGUUUGGGAGUUUAUCUGCAGAAAAACAAAUUUGAUCAGUUCAAGGCGUGAAAUACUGCCUUUUGUUUAUGUCGUGAAACAGAAAGUUUCCAGAAAAAAAGUAUUGAGAUAAAAACAUGAAUAGAUGUUCAGCAGAAAGCACAAAGUACCACCUCACUUGGACGUCUGCUACGACACUCUACAAGUGCGAGCAUAAACAUGAAUAGUUAUUGAACAAUUCAAAUUACAAUAUAAUACCUGAGCGGUAUUGAAUACGACAUUCUGGCAGUCGGGUAAGAUGCUCACAGACCACGCAGGUAGAUGAUAUGACUUCCCGUUAAAAGUAACAGUUGCAUCAGAUUGGCUGUCGAUAUUCGCAAGAAAUGCUGUGCAAGCCCCUGCUGUCUUAUACACAUGAGCCUAAAGAAGAAAAUAAAUAAAGAAGAAGAAUUAAAAAUAAGAGAAAUCAUAACCGUUAUGUUCAAAAAUGCACCUAGAAAAAACAAAUAUAUAUAAAAGGAGUCAUAAAACAAGACAAUUAGACACCAAUUUCCUGCCUAUAGUAUCGUAAUUCUUUGGACUAUGAUGAUAUUCAAAAUGAAAAUGCAGUAAAAUGAACUAAAGCAUGCUAAAUGUCAUGCACGCAAACCAGUGUUUUGAGACACUGGUAAUAAUAGUGAGACAAGUACUAAAUUCAAAGGAAAAAAUUAACAAAGGAAAAAGAUUUUCCAAAUUGUCAAAUAAACAUACUUUUGAAAUUAAAUUAUCACUUUGUUCUAGUCUGUAAGAGUAUGGUUAUGAAAUACUGCAUUUUAACUACUACCUGUAAUAACAAAUCCAGUACAAACCAUCCAUAUUUUUUUAUCUUUGAGCCAGCCAAAGAUAUUACAAUUAGCACAUGAGUACAAAUUAUACGAAAAUCAAUGAAAAUAUAAAAAAAUUGUACAAAUUAUGCAUGAAAAUACAAUAAAAAUAAGGCACUAGUUACCUCCAGGUUUGUACCAAGAGAAGUAUAUGUUGGAUCAGUUGCUAUCAACGCAGCUUCGCAAAGCUUUAUUGAUUUGUGUAGAUCUCGUAAGUGACCCCACUUCGGCUGCCUAAUGAACCCUGCAAUCAAUAAAUGAAGAAAGUGAAAUAAAUGGAGACACAAAACCUUUCUGAAAAAUAUAUGACUUACAGUACCAGCAGGAAAUGUAAGAUAACAAGCUUACCAUACUCGUCUAUCGGAGCAUCAUAGUCAUAACUUGUCGAAAUAAAAGGUCCCCCUGAACUGCGGCCAAAAUUGGUUCCGCCAUGGUACUGACGAAUAGUGGAGAACGUUAUAACAAACAGGGAAAAUCGAACAUCUCUUAGUAUAACAAGGAAUAGAAAUCCUAACAUAGCAAGUUUUAACUACCAACUCAGAAUUGAUACCAUGUAGUAGUUUUGGAAUGUACCACCACGUUCAAAGAAUCGCGCAACAGCAAACGCAAUGUCUUCAACGGGUCUAUAUGGCACUGCACCGCCAAAAGAACGAUACCUAUUUAAACAAGAAAGAAUUAUAAACAACCUUGGCGAUCAUAUAUGAAUAUUGCGCCACUGGAGAUCCUCUGUUUAACAUGCGUGUAUCAAGACCUUAUUAGUAAGCUUCUCUUCGAAGAGAAUUGUUCAAUAUAAGUUGAUUUCCAUCAAACUUAUGCAAUUGGUGUAAAGCCCCUUACCAUCCGGUCCAGUUUUCCGUCCACAUCUUUGGUUUAUUGUUGGAGUUUGGAGUGAACUGAUCACAGUAGAAACCAUUGCAAGUGUUGAUCUGCAGAUUUUGCAUCGUGAUAAACACAGAUUAACAUCAAUAUAUGAACUCACUCCAUCACGAAUGGCAAAUUGCGAAUAGACAAAGAUAGUAAACAAUUUUGAUCAAAUCGGUAAAUAAGCUCGGGACAAAGUUUAUCCUCCUUGUAGCGAAGAUAUGAUCAGACAUGAAGCACUUACAACAGGGUCAGGAGCAUCAGCUUGCUGGCACAUUACCCAGGGAACGCCCGUGUCGAGUGACACAGCCAUCGAUGCAGCCCAGUUGAUGUACGUCUUUGCUGCAGGUCCAUAAGCCGAGUCGAUGUUUCCAUAUUCAUUUUCGAUCUAAAAACAAGUUGAGGACGCGCGAAAACAUUAUUUACAUCUGAGAAGCAACAGUAUAAGAUUUUCAACGAAGAUGAGAACUUUGAAGAGUAACCAAACCUGGGACAAGAUGAUGGGUCCGCCUUGCGAUGCAUAAAGGUUCUCCUGCUUCAUCAUAUCGACGAUCUUUGCCGUGAAUCUUUGCAUCUCUGCCUAGAAACAAAGAAGACCCAAAUAAGCUAAGAAUUUUGGUUUUUUUAAAAAAAAAAAUUUGUAAAACACAGGGUUAGAAUUAAAUAAAUGAACCUUGAAAGGCUCGUUGUCGGUCCUAAACUUGAUACCAGGGAUGAAAUGUAGCCAAACUGGGAAUCCCCUGCACCAAAUUAUAAACAAAUUAGAGAUAACAAAUUCACACAAAGAAAACAUACAAAAUUAUCAAAUUGGGUGAGAAAUUUAAUCUCACCCAUAAUUCCACUCGGCGCAGACAUACGGGCCAAUGCGGAGAUGAACAUAGAGUCCGGCCGCCGCGACCGUCUUUACGAACUUCACCAGGUCCUUUCUCCCCUCAAAAUCAUACUAUAUCCAUGCCGAAUUUCGUUAGAAAGUAACAUACAAAGAGAAUUGGAUUAACAUGACCAAAAAAUGUAAAGGGUCUCUAUAAUGAGAAUCAUGCCUGGUUUCUAACAGGUUCAUGAAGAUCCCAGAAAACAUAAGUCUCGAUAACGUCGAGCCCGCCGUCCUUCGAUUUCUGUAUCAGGUCCGGCCACAUCUGCACUCAACCAAUUUCCCCAUUCCACCAUUAGCAACUACACUCCACAACAGUAUAAAUUGGCUCUUUUAUCCCUAACAGGGACUAAGACUAUCACUGAGCCAUUUUGUUAUCUAAGGUCGUAGGUUCAAUUCCCCAUAUACAUACACUACUUAAUGACUUACGUCUGUCUAUCUGUCUGUCUAUCUGUACACGUGACAUAAUUUAUUUUAUGACGGUACGAAAAGUAUUUUUUGAGCCGUUUUCUAUUAGAUUGAUCUGAAAAGACACCUCACCUCGGGGGUGCUGCGAGGGUAGUGGAUGGAGCCGGAGACGAGGACGCGGCGGGCGCCGUCGAUGAGGAUGGCGCGGUGAUCGUAGCCGACGACGGCGGCGGCGCCUGCAGCGAUCUCCGAAUCGGAGAAUCUGAUCAAGAAGAGAAGCAAGAAGAGGAGCAUUCUUGAGGCUGCUGGUGCUGCUGCCCCAAUAGGAAUGUCGGUUGGCAAAAGUGGCAAAAGUAGCAAAAGAUGGGGAGAUGGGGUGGGUUUAGCUCAAAAAAUUGUGCUGUGCUUUUUCUCAACGCAUGGGGGGUGGGGGGGGGAUAGGGGAUUAGUUGUGUGCGUGCUGUGUAGUAGUAGUAAUUGUACUAGUAGAGGAAAAGGGAUGCUUCUACUUAUAUAUAUAAUAAUUCAAGAAGAGUGAGUCAUCUCUUUUACCACAAACUUUAAUUUUUUCCCUUUUUUUUUUUUGUUUUUGGGGUUUCUUGUGGGGAGGAGGGAAAGGAGUAUGGUGGUGUUGGAAGCGAGAGAGAGGAGUGAAGCAAAUUAAUGGUGGUGGAGUGGAAGGAAAAAUCAAUUGCAUUAAUUAAUUAAUUAAAAAUUAUUUUUUUUUUGCAAGAUUUGUAUUGUAUUUUUAUUUAUUAUUUUAAUGAAGUGGGGAAAGGGUUGAGCUGCGGCGUUUGUCCUUUAAAUUUGUUUGUUGUGUGUUCAUAAUUGAGCUACGUAACAUUGAUGGCGGGAGGAAAUUAAUUAAGAUUUUCUCUAAUAAACAUAAUUGGGUAUAAUUGUACGGAGACACCCCUCAAUUGUUAGCGAUUUUGAAAUAGAUCCUUACGCUUUUUUUUUCUUUUUUUUUUUUCACCCUUUAGGAGAGUGGAAAAGAUUUCUAGUAAAUUUGCAUAUUUAAAAUAAUAGAGUAAUUAAACUCAUAAAUAUUAAGCCUAGGAAAGGAAAAGAAAAUAUAGAAAACAUAUAAAACAAAAGUAAUUACUUACAGACUAUCCUAGAGCAAGUGGCAAAGUGCUUAAUGGUUGGUACCCGAGGUUUCAAAUUGGAAUAGCUAAGUUUAUUUCUAAAUUAAAUAAACGAAGUGGAUAGCAUGCUAUCUAUCUCUCUAAAAAAAAAAAGCUAUUCAGUAAGUUUCGUCUCUGCUACCGCACUAUCAUUACCUUAAUCACCAUGCAACGCGAUGAUAAGUCGAAUUUGGUGCCCAAAAGAGAUGGAAGAGGAGCUAUUUUUAGAUUUGUUAAAGUUAACAACUUUAUUAGUUGAUAAGAAAAAGUCAAAGAAAAAACUAAAACACAGUAAGACUCGAUUUGAAACUACGGAGAGAUUACAUUACAUAUUGUGAGAAAAUACAAUAUAAGAUUAUAUUAUUUCUGUAUGUAAUAUUGUUAUUCAUAUAUCGCAAUAAGUCAGUUACGAUAUAAUUUUUAUAAUUUUACUGAAAAAUAAAAAAAAAUAUUUUUAUAUGUUUUCGUUUCGGUACUAUUGUGCUAUUAGAAUUAGAAGGACCUCAAUACUAAUGAUUUUCUUACUAAAAAUAAUGGAGGAGGAAUCAUGUGUGUCUCAUUUAGUUAGUGCUUUUAAUUCAAACAUUCUUAGUUCUUCUUACGAAAAAUAAAUAAAUACAAAAAUUAUCCAGAGGUGCCACGUGGCUGCCGGACACUGCAUUUAUAGGUAUAGAUUAUUGUAGUUAUAGAUAUAGGUUCAAGGAGGAGAUCUUUAUAAAUAUGAAUUUAUUUCGAGUUAAAGUUUCCAUUCCCAAAGUGGAACGCACAACAACUUUUCCAACCCCUCACCUGCAUUACGUCAGAGAACCAAACACCAUGAUUCGUAGGAUACAAAAUGUCAAAAAAGAUAUCAAAAGAAAUGUGAAGGGAAAGAAAAAACGAAAAAAAAAAAAAAAAAAAAAGCACACCUACACACAAUGAUUACACUAGUGACACCAAACACCAGGACUAUGAUCCCAUCCAUAUUAUUUAAUAAAAUAUAUAUUAUUAUUUUUUGAUAGUUUAGAUGGUAGGGAGAAAUAUCUCGUAGAUACUUUUAUAAGUCUGGCAUAUUUAUACCUUAUUUAUAUCCAAUAUAAAGACGUCAUGAACAUACGUUUGGCAGAGACUAUAGCUCAUCUUAUUAAAAAAUAUAAAUUUUUCUUUUUUUUCAUGCAGAUGUAAUGUAAGAUGUAAAUAUUUUGACUUUUUGACUAUUGUUGAAAUAUAUUUUUUAUAUAUAAUAAUAUAUAUUUAUAUAUUAAUAAUAUUAUAUUUUAUUUGUGAUGUUUAUGUCGUAUUUGUAUCCUAAUUUUUCGAAAGCUGUCGGAUUGUUUUGACUGAAUCGUGUCGUGUUUCGUAUUUUGUAUUUGUAUCUGCGGCAUUUAGUUAGUGAGUAUUUUUUCAGUUGUUGAACCCUAGCCUCCGUUUGGUUGGGGGUUAAGGGGUGGAAUAACUCCUUAACCCUCAUUUUAUCCCCAAAUAUUUUUAAAAAUGGGUGGGGUUAGCUAAUCCCAUCUCAAAUGAGUUAUCCCGGAUUAGCUAACCCCACCUAACCCCACCAAAUCUCAAUCAAAUAUUAUUUUCUAUUUAUAAUAAUUUACUAUCCUUCUUAUCCCACCUAUUCCAACCAAAUACUAUUUUUUACUAUCCUGGACUAACUCCAAUUCCCAACCAAACACAAAAAUAUUCUAACCCCACCUUAACCCUAAAUUUAACAAUAUUUCUGGAAUAACUAAUUUUUUCUUAACCCUGCACCAAACGGUAAAAUUUUUCUCUUUAAAUUGAAAAUGUGCUCUACUGGCUAUUUAUUAAAGAGAGGACCAUACUGUGUGAAGUUGGUUGGGAAGUAAGGAAAGAUCUACUAUUAUUUAAGUGUCAAAUUUUAAAUAUAAUAAAUAAAUAAUUAGAUAUUAAUUCUGAAAUAAAAAUAUUUUAUUUAUUAAUAAAUCUCAAAAUAUUGUACAAACUAUAUAAUUUAAUAGAUGGAUUUCGACAUUAAAAUUAUUAGUCAUGUUUACCUUCCCGUGAUUUACAUCUUUUCACUGAUUAAAUACUACAACACAUAGGGGUGUAAACGAGCCGAACAUGAGCUGGCUCAUUAAAGUAUCGAGUUGAAAAAUUGCUCAUGUUCGGCUCGUUAAUAAACGAAUCGAACACGAGCUGGCUCACGAGCUGGCCAAUGAAUAAUAAGUUAAAAAGAUUAAAUUGAAUAUAUAUAAAAAAUAAAUUUAUAAAAUUUUAUCCAUUAGACUUUGAUCUAACAGUUGAAACUUUACAUAUAAAUAAGUCUUUUUAUAAUUAAGCUCGCCUUUAUAUUUUUAUUUUGCUAAAAAUUAAAUAAUAAAAAUAUAUAUUAUAUAUAUAAUUAUUAUUUAUAUAUAAAUAUAAAUUAAAUAAAUUAUAUAAAUAUAAAAUAUAUGUAUUCGAGCUGUUAUCGAGUCGAACACGAGCGAACUGGAUUGCCACCUCUAACAACACAUGCUAAUUUAUAAAAUAUUACAAAAUUUAUUUAUAAAUAUAGUAUUAAUUUUUAUUCAUAUAUUUAUUUAUUUAUUUGUCAAUUGUAAUGAAUGGAAAUUUUCUCCAAGUGGAAAGUGAUACGCACGGUACGAUACAUUGUAUACACCGUGGCAUCACCAUCACAAAGUAAUUGUAAGUUAGCAAAACUUUUACUUCGUUGCUCACCAUUUGAACAUCAAAAUCUAGCUUGGAAAAAAGUGAACAAUAUGAUUAAUGAUUAAAAAAUUAAGUAAAAAGAAAAUUUUGUUGUCAUUUUUUUAUCGAGAUUUAAGUCUGCAAAUUCAAUCCGACGGAUAUAGUUUUGUCACAUAUAUUAAAGAUCUUAAAUACAUGAAAAUAUGAAUACGCUAAUACAUCACCUAUGCCGAUCAUCGAUCGCAGACUCUUUGUGGCAAAAUAAAAGCAUUAAUUUCACACAGAAUUGCUUACAAAUAAAAGCAUUUCACAAGCAUAACAAUUAUAGUGUUUAGAUUCAUAAAUUUAAUUCUAAAAGAGCCACGUAAACAUAUCGACUACUGCAGUUAAAACUACUCUUAUUUAUUAUUUCUCAUUACUGUAGCCAAAGAUUUAAAUGUUUAAAAAAUAAUUAUUAAUAUUAGUGUGCUGAAUUAUUAUAUUUUGUAUCAGAAUCGAACAUCAGAUCGUCGAUAACGAUCAAACGUCGUAUGCGUCCCCGUUGAUUUGGCGAGAACGUCAGGGUCUUAUACGGAGAACUUAAGGUAUUGUUUGAUUCGGGGAUAAGCAAAAAGUGGUUAUUCUAGGGAUAGGUAUAAAUUAAGGUAUAAGCGGGGAUUAGAUCAAUUUUGUGUUUGGAUGAAAAUUGAGUUAUUCCUGAAAAUAAGAAAAAUAGCGUUUGGUUAGGUAAGAUGGAAUAAGAAGGAUAGUGGGUAGUUAUAAAUAAAAAAUAAUGAUAUUACCCUCUCUUUAUAUUUGAAUUUAAAUUUUUAAAUUUUAAAUUUUAAAUUUAUGUUUUUAAUUUAAAUUUUUAACUUUUAAAUUUCAAAAUUUUAAAUGAAAAUUUAAAUUUUAAAUUUCAAACUUUAAAUUUAAGAUCAAAUUUAAAUUUGAAAAAUAUAAAAUAUAAAAUAUUAAAAAUUUAAAAUAUCAAAAUUUAAAUUUAAAAUUUAAAAUUUGGAAUUUAGAAUUAUGAACUUUAAUUUUGAGAUUACAAAUUUUAAAUUUUAAAAAUUUAAAUUUUAAAUUUAAAUAUUUAUAUUUUAAAUUUUUUAAAUAAGAAUAGGGUGGGAACAAUUAAUAAAAAUAAUUUAUUAUAAUAAAAUUAUAAAUUUGAUAAAAAUAAAUAUUUUAAUAAAUUUAUAAAUUUUUUAUUAUUAAUAAAUUUAUAAUUUUUUUAAAAUUUCUACUUAAACUUAAAUUUAAUAAAAAUAAUUUAUUAUAAUAUUUAAAUAUAAUUUAUUAUAAAAUUUAUUAUAAUAUUUAAAUAUAAAUAAUAUUAUUAAUAUAGUACAAUUAAUAAUUUUAUAACAAAAAAAUGUAUUAUAAUAUAUAACAUAUUAUAUUUAUAUAAUUUAGUUUUAAUUCAAUUCAUAAUUUUAAUUAAGUUUGAAAUUAAAUAUUGGAAUAGCACUAUUCCAUCAAAAUGGUGGAAUAGUAAAUUCUAUGCUAUUGCGGAAUAGUCGGAAAUAGUAAGAUUUGACCGGGAUAAAAUAUUCCGGCCAAAAAUUAUUUUGUUUGGCGGAAUAGCAGGGAUAACUUCCGUUAUCCCUGCUUAUACCGCCAACCAAACGGAGCCUUAAGCCCUUGUUUGGUUGGGGGUUAAGGGGUGGAAUAACUCCUUAACCCUCAUUUUAUCCCCAAACACCCCAAAAAAUAAGUGGGGUUAGCUAACCCACCUAACCCCAUCAAACUCCAACCAAACACUAUAUUCUAUUCAUAAUAACCCACUAUCUUUUUUAUCACACCUACACAAACCAAUCAUUAUCCUUCUUUAUCAAUCAUUAUCUUUUUAUCCCACCUACCCAAUCAAACACUAUUUUUUAUUAUUCUAGACUAACUCCAACCCCCAACCAAACACAAAAAAAUUUUAAUCCCACUUUAAUCCUGAAUUUAACUCUGUCCCUAGAAUAGCUAUUUUUUUUUUAACCCCGAAUCAAACGGAGGCUAAGUGUCUGCCAUGGAUAAGCUAUAAGUAGUAGCUCCUUGAGUGUGGUUUUUGCAUUGUGUGGUACACGUGUAUUGCCGUGUGAGACUAGUUUGCGUGGAAUGGGGGAUGUUUUUGGCACCCGCGUGCCGAGGCCUCCACGUUGUACGCCCUUGUCGACUUGUUUUUCUUGGUCUCUUAUCGUACGUCACGUGGACAUGAGUCACAUGAAGUAGGAUCCAACAAAGGUCAAAAAAAUAAAAAUAAAAAUAAAAUGCAAAAUAUUAAAUUAAAUAAAUAAAAAUAAAAUACAAAGUAUUAAAUUAAAUAAAUUAUGAUAGUGAGAAAGGAAAAGGAGAACUCGGUUCUUGGUGUGCAGGGAUUGGGUGCGCCAACUCCGUUACGAUUAUGAGUGCGUCCAAAAAGUAUUCAAACGUGUGCACACUUCAUUUAGGUUUAAGGUGUAUUUGGUUUGAUGUAAAAGAGGAUGAAAAAAAAAUUUUCAGCGGAAAUAUAGCUUGCGGCUCGUUUGGAUCAACGUAAAAAUUUUUUCUGUAUAAAAUAGUUUUACAUAUUUGGAUGAAAAUUCUCUCUUUUAUUUUUCGAAAAAAAUAAUUUUUUCUUCAUAGUUUUACGUGAAACCAAACACACUCUCAGUUUGACAUUAAGAUCCAUCUGUUAGAUAAAACGGAGUUAGGGGUAAAAGUAUAUAGGGAUAUGUUUCUGUGUUCUCCGAUCGGACCGCAGAAAAUAUAUCAUAAUCGACUUAUCACGAUAUGUGGAACAAAAUAUGGUAUUUUUUUUAUCGUACUUUCUCACUGCACUUAACGUAAUUUUUCCGCAAUCUCAAAGGAAACCUUAGUCCCAUUCUAUUUUCCAUUUUGAUUUUGACGUGGACUCGAGAAAGCAAAAGAAACAAACGAAUGCACCGCUUACACAUAUUCGUUUAAAAUUUAGAUUGAAGUAGUUGUUUAGAUAAAUUACAGUUUAGAUUAAAAUUACUGUUUUUUCUUUUUUGUUUUUUUCUAUGUCGUGGUAUUGAAGUUUUUUUAAUUUUAUUGUUUGUUUGGCAGAAUAUGAAUGACAUAAAAAUUAAAUUUUUUAUUCUGGGUUGAAGUCAAUUACAAUAUUAUGGAGAGCUUGAGCACAUUUGUUUAAAAAUUCAAAUUGAAGAAGAUUUUUAGAUAAAUUAGAAUUUAAAUUUAAAUUACUUUUAUUAACUUAGCUAGAAAUAUGAAUCAACUAGGAUUCGAACAUGGGUCUCGGAUACCAACUACCAAACCCUUUGCCACUUAGGACCGUCAGUAUUAUUAUUAUUAUUAUUAUUAUUAUUGCAACAAAUAUUUUGCAUGAAUUGUACAUUUGAUUUAUUUUAUUAAUAUAUUUAUAUUAUUAAAUAUCUAACUAAAGAUAAUAUGAUAAAUACAUUGUCGCUAUCUAGGAUACUACUCUAGUGUUAUGUUAGUGCACGCAUAGAAAUAGAUGAAUUUAUAAAUAAUAAAAUGAAAAGGGUCCACCACUUAUUAUUCUACUCAUACAAUAAUUGUAGUGAGACAAAAAUAAAUAGACCAUGUAUCAUUUUUGCAUCUAUAGGUCUUGAUAUGGGCCCAAACCACUUUGUAGUUUAAGGGGUGUUUAGAUUCACGUAAUCACGUAAUCCUCGUAUAAUAGUAAACCAAAUUUAGUAAAAAUAAAACAUAUUAGUUUUGUCAUCGAUCGGGACGCACCAAGAAGAUUCGUUGUAGGUUGUUGUGAGCUUAGCUCCUGAAAAUAGCCUUUUUCUUAAAGAGUUCUAAAAUCAUCUUUUGUCGAAAAAAUAAACAAUAUAGCCUAAUAAGGCUAUUAUUAUUGGAUUAUUUCUAAUCUGAUCAAUUAGCAAGGUAUAACAAGGUUUUAGAGCCACUUCUACACCCAUUAUGUUGCAAGAUGAUUUAUGUUGAAUUCCCGAAUAUGCAAUUGGUUGCCACUUCUGUUAAUUCACGUGAACAACACGUCUGAUCUCCAUAAUGUACGUAAAUAAGAGUGCUAAGAAUAUUCAUAAUUAUUUAAAAUUAGAUCGAUUUUUUAAGUAGUAUUGUAUUAGAGUUGGACCUAAGCUCCACGACAUUCUAUGGUCAACAACGAAAUUAAUAUUUAUAUUCUAAACUUUGGUUGCAGUCAAAUUACAAUUACGUCAAUCCAAAUGCACGCCCCUUAUUUUGUGAGGCCAUACUUUUGCCGCGCAUUGGGGCAUUGCUUUGAGGCCUCAUGCAUUGUUUAUAAGGCUUGGACCAACCAUAUGACUAAGGUUAAUUAGUUAAAUUUAGGCCCAGUACAAUAGCAUCGAUCCACUGGAUCUAAGGGUUUAUAAAAAUUCUCUAAGUUUUAAGUACUUAAAAAAAAUUGAUAUGACGAAACGAGAGAUCCGAGAGCUUUUGGAAGGAUAAACUGUAAAAUUGACACCUAUAUAAAGUAAGUGUACAGAUAGUAUUGCUUUUUAAAAUCUUAGAAUAAGUUUAUUUUUCCGGAAUCGGAAGAGACCGGAGCUUUCCCAUUCUGACCGUGCACCAGAUCUUAACUUUACCCGCUACAAGGGACGAAAUCGCGAUUCGUCAUAGUGUAGUUUUGUAAGUUCUCUCACUAUUUGAUGAAGAGGACGCGUCACCGUACAAUGUCGUGGAGCAGCUACCGUUUGAUUUCACUUAAGUUGGAUGAUCCCGACCGCACAUCUUCUUUAACUACUUUAACUGCCAAUGUCCUCCGACUACACUUUUUUUUUUCAACUUAUUUACACUUUUGCCACCCACCCUAGCUAUGUAGAGGAUUAAUUUCUCCGUUGUAUCCGAUACCUAUUUCUCAGUGUGGAUGAACUGGAUAUACCAAGUGACACCCUUGGAGACGUUCGUAGUAUUUGGACCAAAUUAGCCGCCUUUUUGUUUGAAUCGUCGCGAACGCGAGAACUAACCCUUCUGGCUGCGAUCUGGUGGGUGGUCUGGAGGGGUAGAAACAACUCCGUUUUCCAGACAAUUCCGCCUGAUGCGAGUCGCUCUCUCGAACGUAUUAAACUCUUUUGACCAACUGGACCGUGCUGACCUGAAGCGACACUAGACUUACUCCUUUUUUUCUAACCUUCCCCUCUCACCUCCUUUCCCCUUUUUGGCCUUUUGUCUGUUAUUUUUGCAUUUUCGGAGACCUAAGCUGCUUCCAUCUCUGUACGCUUAGUUCAUUUUACUUAAUGAAUGAAGCUGGUAACUUGCUACCUUAUUUCUCAAAAAAAUAGAGACCGAGUUGAAAAUAACCUUUAGUUGAAUAAAAGUUUAGAUUAAAAUUAGGUUUAAUUAUAUAUAAAAACUCCUGCAAGUCGCUCCAUAUCUUAAACAUCCCCAUACAGAAAAAACUUAAACAAUGUUUCACCUGCAAUUAGCCCGGUGCCUCAUUAUUAUUUAUUUUAUUAUUAUUAUUAUUUCGAAUUUGAGAUUUGAAAUAAAAAAUCUAUAAUUGAACUGCAAAUUCGAAUCCAAAAUCUGAAUUUAGAGUUAAAGCUAAAUCCAAAUUUUGAAUUUGAAUUUGAAAUUAUUAAAUCUUCAUUAGAAAUUGAAAUCUGAAUUGAAAAAAAAUCAUUCAAUCUCCUCUUACAGUAUCUUCCAUGAGGAGCUCCCUAUAGAUUUUUAGUUUGCUCUAGGUGGCCCAGAGUAUUUCUCAAAACCAUAUCAAAAGAACCUGUUAAAAAAAAAAAAAGAAGGAAAAAAGACCUCUGUGAUGUUGCAAAUUGGUACUUCUUAUUUCAUAAAGUACACAAAUUCAAUCAUUGUAUUAUACACUUUAAAUUGUAUGCACAUAUCUAGAAAAUACACUUUGCUCUCGCUGUUUGGUAACUUGAUCACAAGCAUGCCACUUCAACCGCGAGGCUCUUCGUGACCCCUCUACACGGGUCUCCGAACAUCUCAGUCGACACUCUGAUGCUACAACUCCUCGCUCCGAUACAAGCCUACAAAGAUAUUUCACAAAUCAAAAUUAAGAACAAAGAAUUUUCUUUUAUUCACCAAACGCCUAACUAGCGCUGCAGAUACAAUACAGAUAUGUCAUUUGUGUACCUCUUGAACAACGGUAAGGGCAGUAGAACUAUUGCAUUUGCCGUGGCUAUAGCUUCCACAUGCGCCAUGCGGGGUCCCGAAGCUUGCAAACUUGAUUUUGGAGAUGAGUUGGUUCGCGCUUGGGCACUCCAAUCGGAGCAUCGGCCCAGACUUCCCCCUCUUUUGUGUAGUGAUAAAAGCAUCUAGUGGGGCUGGAUGUAGCUCUGAAACAUGUGCACACAAACUCCCAAUCUCCCUAACCGCGAAAGACAUUUUAGUCGGGUCCCCGCCAACCUCCUCAAAAAGAACCAAAUCGUUGCUACCCCAUCGGAGAAACGACCGAGGAACAUGAUACCUGUUUAUAUAUGUUUCGUUCACAUAUAUAUUUAAUGUGAAAUUGAAAUCCAGGUUAAAGUUACAGAGAAUAAAUUUGUGAUAGACACUAAAAACAAACAAAUGGUAGAAAUUCUUACAGAAUUUGAGAUGGUUUCCCACAGUUCUUGAGGCAUUUGUCAGAACUGAAGGAUCCUUUAUAGCUGCAAAAGGUGACACAACCAUUCUGCGGAGCUUGGUAAGUGGGCCAAAACCGGCCGAUACUCUGCCCGUUCACCCACCCCUCUCCUUUCCCCAUGCCCGUAAAGUUUAUCGCGAUUGGGCCGUCGCCCUCUGGUGCAGCAAAUUUUGUCUGCACCAUUAAAAGAACGCGAUGAGUUCGUCGACUAUGUAUCAUAAUCUUGUUAGUCUAGAGUAUAAAAUAAGUUUAACCAACAAAUGCGAGAGGACGGUGGAAACGUCAAACUCUGACCUUGUACCAUAUCAGAGGUUGAUUCGUCGGCAAGGUAGAAUCUGAGACCCAUUCAGAAGAAUCAUCAGAAGUCUCAUAUAGCCGCGAGUCUUCCCCUUUAAGUCCAAUCUGCAUAAGUAAAAGUAAACCGUAAAUUCAAGAAUAAUCUUAACAUUGGUGAGCUGAAUAUUACGAAAUUAUUCGCGUAAAUAACCAAUUUAGUUCAGGAACAAGGUUAUGGAACUGUUAUUGACGUACUAUUGAACAACCUGGUAUGUCCACGGUUUUGAAGAUAAAUCUAAUGUGCCAUUUGGUCCGUUCAGCUUUACUGGACCGGUAACUCCGGCACCCCAUAAAUCAAAGAAUGGGCCAUAAUCCUGGAAAUAUAAAGAAUGAACAAAAUCAAAGAGAUGAUUAGAUUCACAAUGAUCCACUUACAUAAAUGAUAUACGUGAAAAAUAAAUACUGGGAAAAAAAAAAAGAUUCCUCCAAAAGCAGUGGAAAGAACCUGUAGACCAACAGUUGCGCUUAAAAGAUCUAUAGCGUUCUUUCCUGGGGCGAGCAUAAUAAGCUUCUGCAGUGAAAAUGAUGCAUUGUAACUGUUUCCCAUCCCACUAGCUGAAUAAAUGUUAUAACAUGAAUAUUUUAGAUGCUAAAGUUCAAACAAUAAAACGCAAACUAUAUUUAGUUUUUUGUCUCAGAUUCAGUUUAUUCAGUUCAACAUGAAAUGCAUUACCUGACAAUUUUCCAUUGACAAAAACGCGAAGGACGUGGCCAAGUGAUUUCACAAGGAGAUUAGAUUGAGUUCCAUUUAAAAGAAACGGCUCAUCGCCGGUGAUCUCAAUGCUGCGAGAAGACCAUUAAAACCCGGUGAACAGCUAAUGUUAAUUCGAGGAUAAGCAUACCAUGUAAACAAGGCUAUGAGACAAGAAAACUACUAAAGAAGAAUCGUCUUCACCUUGUUGAAUACCAUAGAUAAUCACUAGCAUCUGCAGUAGUAUUUAUUUGCUCUAGCAAUCCAGUUUUUGUGAAGGCAUCGGCCUUUGAGAUACCGACAGGUUCUAUUGCAUAGCUCCAUUGUGAUUGUGGCAUCUCAGAGGAAUCAAGAGAAUCAUCUGAGGUUUGAUUGUAGGAAUUUAGAUGCCUCAUCUCUGUGGAAGAGGUUUGGGAGUUUAUCUGCAGAAAAUCACCUUUUACUAGAUCAAGAUGUGAAAUAUUACCUUUUAUGAUGUCAUGAAUAUAAAA
This 14915-nucleotide long non-coding RNA is filed under the name Ananas comosus (pineapple). RNAcentral's name for it is "long non-coding RNA (ACOM_LNC015559)". The record is from RNAcentral. Lineage: Eukaryota; Viridiplantae; Streptophyta; Magnoliopsida; Poales; Bromeliaceae.